GUAGUCCACGCUGUAAACGAUGAGUGCUAGGUGUGAGAGGUUUCAACACCUUUCGUGCCGCAGUUAACACAAUAAGCACUCCGCCUGGGGAGUACGGUCGCAAGACUGAAACUCAAAGGAAUUGACGGGGGCCCGCACAAGCGGUGGAGCAUGUGGUUUAAUUCGAAGCAACGCGAAGAACCUUACCAGGGCUUGACAUCCCUCUGACGGCUCUAGAGAUAGGGCGUCCCUUCGGGGCAGAGGAGACAGGUGGUGCAUGGUUGUCGUCAGCUCGUGUCGUGAGAUGUUGGGUUAAGUCCCGCAACGAGCGCAACCCUUGAGCUUAGUUGCCAGCAUUGAGUUGGGCACUCUAGGCUGACUGCCGCAGACAAUGCGGA
This 377-nucleotide ribosomal RNA is filed under the name uncultured bacterium. RNAcentral's name for it is "bacterial SSU rRNA". It matches the Rfam family "Bacterial small subunit ribosomal RNA", at positions 790 to 1167 of the family's 1533-position model. The record is from RNAcentral.